AACGUAGGAGACAAACGUUAUCCGGAGUUACUGGGCGUAAAGGGCGUGCAGGUGGUCUGUUAAGUCUGGCGUGAAAGCUCUCGGCUAAACCGGGAGAGGUCGUUGGAUACUGGCGGACUAGAGGACGGUAGAGGCGUGUGGAAUUCCGGGUGUAGUGGUGAAAUGCGUAGAGAUCCGGAGGAACACCAGUGGCGAAGGCGACACGCUGGCCGUACCGUGACGCUGAGGAGCGAAAGCA
RNAcentral lists this ribosomal RNA (238 nucleotides) under uncultured bacterium. RNAcentral's name for it is "partial 16S ribosomal RNA". It matches the Rfam family "Bacterial small subunit ribosomal RNA", at positions 524 to 761 of the family's 1533-position model. The record is from RNAcentral.